GCUAAUACCGGAUAACNACANUAGACGCAUGUNUAGAGUUUAAAAGAUGGUUCUGCUAUCACUNUUGGAUGGACCUGCGGUGCAUUAGCUAGUUGGUNAGGUAACGGCUUACCAAGGCNAUGAUGCAUAGCCGAGUUGAGAGACUGAUCGGCCACAUUGGGACUGAGACACGGCCCAAACUCCUACGGGAGGCAGCAGUAGGGAAUCUUCCACAAUGGACGCAAGUCUGAUGGAGCAACGCCGCGUGAGUGAAGAAGGNUUUCGGCUCGUAAANCUCUGUUGNUAGNGAAGAANGAUAGNGNNAGUAACUGNCCAUUAUUUGACGGUANUUAANNAGAAAGUCACGGCUAACUACGUGCCAGCAGCCGCGGUAAUACGUAGGUGGCAAGCGUUGUCCGGAUUUAUUGGGCGUAAAGCGANUGCAGGCGGUUCNAUAAGUCUGAUGUGAAAGCCUUCGGCUCAACCGGAGAAUUGCAUCAGAAACUGGAAGACUUGAGUGCAGAA
Molecule: ribosomal RNA, 504 nt
Filed under: bacterium LMa2
Lineage: Bacteria
Description: partial 16S ribosomal RNA
Rfam family: Bacterial small subunit ribosomal RNA
Source: RNAcentral